RNAcentral lists this ribosomal RNA (467 nucleotides) under uncultured bacterium. RNAcentral describes it as "partial 16S ribosomal RNA". It matches the Rfam family "Bacterial small subunit ribosomal RNA", at positions 28 to 507 of the family's 1533-position model. The record is from RNAcentral.
GACGAACGCUGGCGGCGUGCUUAACACAUGCAAGUCGAACGGAAAGGCCCUGCUUUUGUGGGUGCUCGAGUGGCGAACGGGUGAGUAACACGUGAGUAACCUGCCCUUGACUUUGGGAUAACUUCAGGAAACUGGGGCUAAUACUGGAUAGGAGCUCCUGCUGCAUGGUGGGGGUUGGAAAGUUUCGGCGGUUGGGGAUGGACUCGCGGCUUAUCAGCUUGUUGGUGGGGUAGUGGCUUACCAAGGCUUUGACGGGUAGCCGGCCUGAGAGGGUGACCGGCCACAUUGGGACUGAGAUACGGCCCAGACUCCUACGGGAGGCAGCAGUGGGGAAUAUUGCACAAUGGGCGGAAGCCUGAUGCAGCAACGCCGCGUGCGGGAUGACGGCCUUCGGGUUGUAAACCGCUUUCGCCUGUGACGAAGCGUGAGUGACGGUAAUGGGUAAAGAAGCACCGGCUAACUACGUG